CGUACCAACUUCCGGGGGAAACCUUGGUAGGGCCUGUGUUAACUGCACAGGACGGUAAAAACCCGGUUGGGAUAGACAAUGGACGAUCCGCAGCGGACCCCUACCGGCGAGAGCCUACGGGGAGCGUUCACAGACUAGGUGAUUGUGGGCUAGGCAAAAUGCUUGGUCUAAGAUAUAGUCGGCGCCCACGGGAAACCCUGGGAGUUCUGCAGAGAGCACUUGAUAGCGUCCGUAGGUGAACCUGCGGAAGGAUCAUUACAGAGUUCAUGCCCUCACGGGUAGACCUCCCACCCUUGAAUAUCUCACCUUUGUUGCUUUGGUGGGCUGCUAUUAAGCGUCGGCCCUAGCUGACUAUGGCCCACCAGAGGAUCCAAACUCGUUUGUUUCGUGAUGUCUGAGUACUAUUUAAUAGUUAAAACUUUCAACAACGGAUCUCUUGGUUCUGGCAUCGAUGAAGAACGCAGCGAAAUGCGAUAAGUAAUGUGAAUUGCAGAAUUCAGUGAAUCAUCGAAUCUUUGAACGCACAUUGCGCCCUUUGGUAUUCCGAGGGGCAUGCCUGUUCGAGCGUCAUUGUAACCAUUCAAGCCUAGCUUGGUAUUGGAGUGCGCGAUUCCGCGGCUUCUAAAAUCAGUGGCAGUACCAUCUGUCUUUAAGCGUAGUAAUACCUCUCGCUAUAGAGUCUUGAUGGGUGCUUGCCAGCAAUAUUCAUCUCACGGUUGACCUCGGAUCAGGUAGGGAUACCCGCUGAACUUAA
Molecule: ribosomal RNA, 754 nt
Filed under: uncultured fungus
Lineage: Eukaryota; Fungi
Description: eukaryotic LSU rRNA
Rfam family: 5.8S ribosomal RNA (bases 417-570)
Source: RNAcentral